AUCCUAGCCGUAAACGAUGAUGACUAGGUGUGGGAGGUAUCGACCCCUUCCGCGCCGACGCUAACGCAUUAAGUCAUCCGCCUGGGGAGUACGGCCGCAAGGUUAAAACUCAAAGGAAUUGACGGGGGCCCGCACAAGCGGUGGAGCAUGUGGUUUAAUUCGACGCUACGCGAAGAACCUUACCUGGGCUCGAACGACUGGUAGUACCCUAUUUGAAAGGAUGGGGGACCCGCAAGGGAGCCAGCCGAGGUGCUGCAUGGUUGUCGU
Molecule: ribosomal RNA, 267 nt
Filed under: uncultured bacterium
Lineage: Bacteria
Description: partial 16S ribosomal RNA
Rfam family: Bacterial small subunit ribosomal RNA
Source: RNAcentral